This 774-nucleotide ribosomal RNA is filed under the name uncultured Actinomycetes bacterium. RNAcentral's name for it is "bacterial SSU rRNA". It matches the Rfam family "Bacterial small subunit ribosomal RNA", at positions 145 to 931 of the family's 1533-position model. The record is from RNAcentral. Lineage: Bacteria; Bacillati; Actinomycetota; Actinomycetes.
AACACCGGGAAACCGGUGCUAAUACCGAAUAUUGAAACAUAAGUGGCAUCACUGAGUUUUGAAAGAAUUUCGGUGGAGGAUGACUUCGCGGCCUAUCAGCUAGUUGGUGAGGUAAUGGCUCACCAAGGCAACGACGGGUAGCCGGCCUGAGAGGGCGACCGGCCACACUGGGACUGAGACACGGCCCAGACUCCUACGGGAGGCAGCAGUGGGGAAUAUUGGGCAAUGGAGGAAACUCUGACCCAGCGACGCCGCGUGCGGGAUGAAGGCCUUCGGGUUGUAAACCGCUUUCAGUAGGGAAGAAGCGAAAGUGACGGUACCUACAAAAGAAGCACCGGCUAACUAUGUGCCAGCAGCCGCGGUAAUACAUAGGGUGCAAGCGUUGUCCGGAAUUAUUGGGCGUAAAGAGCUCGUAGGUCGUUUGUUACGUCGGAUGUGAAAACCUGAGGCUCAACCUCAGGCCUGCAUUCGAUACGGGCAAACUAGAGUUUGGUAGGGGAGACUGGAAUUCCUGGUGUAGCGGUGGAAUGCGCAGAUAUCAGGAGGAACACCAAUGGCGAAGGCAGGUCUCUGGGCCAAUACUGACACUGAGGAGCGAAGGUCUGGGGAGCGAACAGGAUUAGAUACCCUGGUAGUCCAGACCGUAAACGGUGGGCACUAGUUGUGGGAACCUUCCACGGUUUCUGCGACGCAGCUAACGCAUUAAGUGCCCCGCCUGGGGAGUACGAUCGCAAGAUUAAAACUCAAAGGAAUUGACGGGGCCCCGCACAAGCA